Molecule: non-coding RNA, 623 nt
Organism: Oryctolagus cuniculus (rabbit)
Lineage: Eukaryota; Metazoa; Chordata; Mammalia; Lagomorpha; Leporidae
Source: RefSeq, a predicted model, not a curated record
GUUUUUGUUUAGGAAAACAUGUAUACAUGUCCAUUGUUUAAAAAGAUUUAUUCAUUUGUUUGAAAGGCAGAGCCACAAAGAGGCAGAUGCAAAGACAGAAAGAGAGAGAGAUCCUCCAUCCACUGGUUCACAACCCAAAUAUCUGCAAUGGCCAGAGUUGAGCUGAUCCGAAGCCAGAAGACAGGAGCUUCUUCCAGGUCUCCCAUGCAGUUCAAAGAACACUCCAGUAGCAAUGAGCACUCAGCAUACAGAUGAUGGUUUCCAACGGCUUCUCCAACGCAAGAAGGCAGAGCUUUUAGGAGAAAGGAGUACUUCAGAACUGAGGCAAGGAAUAUACAAGGAUCAUGCUUGCUCCUGAAUAGUGUGGAAAUGAUGAGCCCUGUUAGAAUGCAAACCGAUCCAACAUCCACUUCACACUCCCAAAUGUUUGCUCCGCCAAGGGAUGCCUGAUUGGGCUUGGGGUUUUUCAAGAGAUGUGUUUGUCACCUUCUCCACCAAUUCUUCUGGAAUAGAAGAGGAGGGUAGCUACAGGUAACAGAUUAUUUUUAAUUCCGCCUUGUUAUUUGGAACUGAUUUCCCAUAUGUUGUUGUUGUUCAAUUCCUUGCAUGAAUUUUCUCAAAUA